CACGUAGGGGGCAAGCGUUGUUCGGAAUUACUGGGCGUAAAGGGCAUGUAGGCGGUUUUGUAAGCCUGACGUGAAAGGCUGCAGCUUAACUGUAGCACUGCGCUGGGAACUGCGAGACUGGAGUCACGGAGAGGUAGCUAGAAUUCCAGGUGUAGGGGUGAAAUCUGUAGAUAUCUGGAAGAAUACCAAUGGCGAAGGCAAGCUUCUGGCCGAUGACUGACGCUGAGGUGCGAAAGCGUGGGUAGCAAACAGG
This 253-nucleotide ribosomal RNA is filed under the name uncultured bacterium. Its description in RNAcentral is "partial 16S ribosomal RNA". It matches the Rfam family "Bacterial small subunit ribosomal RNA", at positions 524 to 776 of the family's 1533-position model. The record is from RNAcentral.